UCGCCCUUGUUGAUCCCGCCGGACCUGACUGCUAUCGGAUUGGUACUAAGCCAUGCGAGUCAUUGUAGCAAUACAAGGCGGACGGCUCAGUAACACGUAGUCAACCUAACUCGUGGACGUGGAUAACCUCGGGAAACUGAGAAUAAACCACGAUAGAUCAUAGUGCCUGGAAUGGCUUAUGGUCCAAACAGUUUACUGCCAUGGGAUGGGACUGCGGCCUAUCAGCUUGUUGGUGAGGUAAUGGCCCACCAAGGCGAUUACAGGUACGGGCUCUGAGAGGAGAAGCCCGGAGAUGGGUACUGAGACACGGACCCAGGCCCUAUGGGGCGCAGCAGGCGAGAAACCUUAGCAAUGUGCGAAAGCACGACUGGGUCAGUCCGAGUGAUUCCUGAUAAAGGAGUCUUUUGCUUGUCCUAAAAGCACAGGUGAAUAAGGGGUGGGCAAGUCUGGUGUCAGCCGCCGCGGUAAUACCAGCACCUCGAGUGGUCAGGACGUUUAUUGGGCCUAAAGCAUCCGUAGCCGGCUCUGCAAGUCUUCGGUUAAAUCCACCUGCUCAACAGAUGGGCUGCGGAAGAUACUAUAGAGCUAGGAGGCGGGAGAGGCAAGCGGUACUCGAUGGGUAGGGGUAAAAUCCGUUGAUCCAUUGAAGACCACCAGUGGCGAAGGCGGCUUGCCAGAACGCGCUCGACGGUGAGGGAUGAAAGCUGGGGGAGCAAACCGGAUUAGAUACCCGGGUAGUCCCAGCUGUAAACGAUGCAGACUCGGUGAUGAGUUGGCUUAUUGCUAACUCAGUGCCGCAGGGAAGCCGUUAAGUUUGCCGCCUGGGGAGUACGGUCGCAAGACUGAAACUUAAAGGAUUGGCGGGGGAGCA
RNAcentral lists this ribosomal RNA (871 nucleotides) under uncultured archaeon. Its description in RNAcentral is "bacterial SSU rRNA". It matches the Rfam family "Archaeal small subunit ribosomal RNA", at positions 1 to 878 of the family's 1478-position model. The record is from RNAcentral.